Long non-coding RNA from Nicotiana tabacum (common tobacco), 584 nucleotides. RefSeq lists it as uncharacterized. The record is from RefSeq and is a predicted model, not a curated record. Lineage: Eukaryota; Viridiplantae; Streptophyta; Magnoliopsida; Solanales; Solanaceae.
UUACACGAACUACUUAUGGACGAAAAUUUGUUGAAACCAGCACUAUUAGAGUUACAUUCUGGUGUUGCUAUUCUGGUAAAUUCAAGUGAAAAAGAGGAACAUGAUUGGGGAAAAAAGGAACCCUACCAUAGCUCCCAUAUAAGUAUUUGUGCUCUUAACCCUACCUCUCUUUACCUUCUUACUGCCGCAUUCCUCCACGUCUCUCAUACACCACCACUUUUACAUACAUAAUGCUUUUCUCGUCCUUCUAGAGUCUUUCCUGCUGGAAUUUUCACAGGAGAAGAAGUAGAGAUGGAACUGGGCAAUGCAGCGCAGGAACAGUUGCAGAAAACAGUUUGGUGGGCGCCAAUAAGGCCCGACAAGUGCUUGUUACGGUUCGGCCGGUUAUUUUAUAAAAUUUGUACCAUAUUAAUUUUUCAGUUAUUCUAUUAUGUAUAACCAAAUUUAGACUUUUAGAAACCGUACCAAUCAUGUCGUUUUCUCUUCGGUAUCGGUACGGUUCGGUUAAUUUUCGAUAUUUUUUUAAAUGUCAUUUAAAAGUCACUAGUAGAAGCAGAAUGCAAUAACUAUGGACUUUUAUAGGA